CUAGGCAAGAUCUCCGCCCCCCUCAUCUACGUCCUCCCGCCCCACCCCGAGGAGAUGACCCAACCCCUGGUGACCAUCACCUGCUUGGUCCGCUCUUUCCAACCGGAGAACGUCCAAGUCCAGUGGUUGAAGAACCACCAGAACGUCCCUCAGGAGGACUACGUCACCACCCCGCCCCUCAAGGACGGGCCGAAGGACACCACCUUCUUCGUCUACAGCAAGAUGAUGGUCCCCAAGAGCAGCUGGGCCUCUGGAGACACCUACACCUGCAUGGUGGUCCACGAAGGGUUGCCCAUGAAGUUCACCCAACGGCAGGCGCAGAAAAGCCCCG
Leptosomus discolor (cuckoo roller) is the source of this 331-nucleotide non-coding RNA. The record is from the annotation of a RefSeq genome assembly. Lineage: Eukaryota; Metazoa; Chordata; Aves; Leptosomiformes; Leptosomidae.